UUUAUUUUACCUUGUUGCUUCGGCGGGCCCGCCUUAACUGGCCGCCGGGGGGCUUACGCCCCCGGGCCCGCGCCCGCCGAAGACACCCUCGAACUCUGUCUGAAGAUUGUAGUCUGAGUGAAAAUAUAAAUUAUUUAAAACUUUCAACAACGGAUCUCUUGGUUCCGGCAUCGAUGAAGAACGCAGCGAAAUGCGAUACGUAAUGUGAAUUGCAAAUUCAGUGAAUCAUCGAGUCUUUGAACGCACAUUGCGCCCCCUGGUAUUCCGGGGGGCAUGCCUGUCCGAGCGUCAUUGCUGCCCUCAAGCACGGCUUGUGUGUUGGGCCCCGUCCUCCGAUCCCGGGGGACGGGCCCGAAAGGCAGCGGCGGCACCGCGUCCGGUCCUCGAGCGUAUGGGGCUUUGUCACCCGCUCUGUAGGCCCGGCCGGCGCUUGCCGAUCAACCCAAAUUUUUAUCCAGGUUGACCUCGGAUCAGGUAGGGAUACCCGCUGAACUUAAGCAUAUCA
Molecule: ribosomal RNA, 505 nt
Filed under: Penicillium chrysogenum
Lineage: Eukaryota; Fungi; Ascomycota; Eurotiomycetes; Eurotiales; Aspergillaceae
Description: eukaryotic LSU rRNA
Rfam family: 5.8S ribosomal RNA (bases 139-291)
Source: RNAcentral